CAGCCGCCGCGGGAAUACCGAGGGUGCAAGCGUUAAUCGGAAUUACUGGGCGUAAAGCGCGCGUAGGUGGUUUGUUAAGUUGGAUGUGAAAUCCCCGGGCUCAACCUGGGAACUGCAUCCAAAACUGGCAAGCUAGAGUAUGGUAGAGGGUGGUGGAAUUUCCUGUGUAGCGGUGAAAUGCGUAGAUAUAGGAAGGAACACCAGUGGCGAAGGCGACCACCUGGACUGAUACUGACACUGAGGUGCGAAAGCGUGGGGAGCAAACAGGAUUAGAUACCCCGGUAGUCCCUGUCUCUUAUAC
Molecule: ribosomal RNA, 301 nt
Filed under: uncultured bacterium
Lineage: Bacteria
Description: partial 16S ribosomal RNA
Rfam family: Bacterial small subunit ribosomal RNA
Source: RNAcentral